CCUAGGAAUCACAAACGCCACAACUCUUCCGACAAUUGCCGGGCAAACCCUCGGCACCUACCAUGUAUACCGGGUUCUUCUCGCAUUCUCCAGCUUCAGCCCAUUUCGCGCAACGUGCACUGUUGUCGGAGCAUCCUUCUGUCACCUUUGAGACAGGAGGAUGCUCAUAGGACCUGAUACGGAUCCACUUUGGUGCAGACCAUUUUUCACCUUCUAUCACUGGGCAGCUCCCAUGGAGGCUGAGCGGGUCCGGUACGCCAUCGAUAUGAAGGCUAAAGAAGAGCACCGUGUCGCCUUUAACUGGUUUCACUGCAAUUAAACUAGCCUGGUUAUAUUCCAAGUGUGUUAUGUUUCAGUUUUUGAAGAGAAACUAGAGCCUAGAGAGGUGUCACAUUUAAAACACUUCAAAAGGUAACCAUUACCUGCCAAUCCUUUUUGUGCACAUUCAGAGAAAGUGUCAUCCUUGGGCUGAUUUUCCCACCCCUAAAUUGAUUAGCACCAGCAAUGUUACAAAAACUCAUACAUCAUUUGGAUUUGGAAAAGUGAAGGACGUGAUAUUUGAAAUUUACCUCAGCAUUGGGGAACACAGUCUCGCCUCCCUUCUCGACAGUGGACAAAUACAUGAGCACCGUCGCGUAACGGUGGCCUCCCAGUGCUUGAUUGACCUUGUCAUGGAAAUAAUCAAAGUGCGGCUCAUACUUCUGCCCAUGCUCGUAUCGGAGUAUCUGAAUCCCAGAAGAGUUACCUUCAGGAAGAAAGGUCCAUGCUGCAAUUCUUUUUUCAAUCCUGCUCACCACUGGAUCCUUCACAAAACAAGAAACGCAUUUCCAUUACAUUACACCCCAGAAUGACAGAAUCCAUUAGAAAGUACGAGAGCAAGCUGGCGUCCAGAUAUAUAGCCAAAAAUGUAGUACCUGGCGCUUGUCGAGGAACAUGCCGGAGCUGGUCCGCACCUCGCUCAUGACGCUCUUGCCGGACUUGUUGUCCGCCACCAUCGACCUCUGCAUCUUCCUCUUCCCCUGCUCCAACCACACACACCAAUCAAUCGAGACGCAGAUAGGAUUCAGCCAUGGUGGUGGCAUCUAUGAUUGCAGCAGGUGCUGACCAGCUUGACGAGGUGGUCGCACUCGUCGUCGGAGAGGAACCCCUUGUAGACGAAGACCCUG
This 1166-nucleotide small RNA is filed under the name Oryza sativa Japonica Group (Japanese rice). RNAcentral's name for it is "sRNA Os07g0194550". The record is from RNAcentral. Lineage: Eukaryota; Viridiplantae; Streptophyta; Magnoliopsida; Poales; Poaceae.